ACAGUGGACGCGAGCAUCUGUGGCCAAGUUUUUAAGGGCGCACGGUGGAUGCCUUGGCACCAGGAACCGAUGAAGGACGUGGGAGGCCACGAUAGUCCCCGGGGAGUCGUCAACCAGGCUUUGAUCCGGGGGUUUCCGAAUGGGGAAACCCGGCAGUCGUCAUGGGCUGUCACCCAUACCUGA
Molecule: ribosomal RNA, 183 nt
Filed under: Streptomyces sp. ME109
Lineage: Bacteria; Bacillati; Actinomycetota; Actinomycetes; Kitasatosporales; Streptomycetaceae
Description: Streptomyces sp. me109 partial 23S ribosomal RNA
Rfam family: Bacterial large subunit ribosomal RNA (bases 22-183)
Source: RNAcentral